AGAACUAUCAUUGAUUACUGCCUUUCAAUGCAGAGUGAGUACAACACCGUCGUAUUGUAUAAUGGCACUUGGUUUUUUAUUGAUCACAGCAGUAUUUGCGUUCGGCACAUAUUGGGUAACGAAGUAUUUCAUGUUGCCAAGUACACAUAUAUCUAAGAUUGGCGUCACGCAGUUGGAACCUACGACCCCCGCAUUUGACUACAUAUAACGAUAUAGCCAAUAACUUCUAUAAGUGAGACCAAUGAAAUAACAAGCAAAUUAUAAUUUCAUUUGAAUAAGGUGUUCAAGCCUUUAUGAACAAAUGAUUACAUAAUUAAAAUUUGUUUCUUAAUGUUUGUAAACAAAUGAAAAUGUUUUUAAAUUGCCCGGUGAAAAAUACGAUACUAUUACACACUGUCAUUCGAUUUCAUAUUUGUAAAUAAUUAUUGUCGAAACAUUUCUAUUUGUAAACAAACAAAGUUUGUAACGUGCAUCGUUUCGGUUAUAUUAUUGUAUCAUUAAUUGUGUCGAUAAUAACACCUGUUGAAACGUAGUUGUUAAUUGAAUAAGUUUGUUAAUAUUACGAUAGUAAUGGCAGUAGCUGGAUUAAUAUUUUUAGCGGGGGCUAUAAUGGCUACAGUGUUCCUCGGAGGGAGAUAUCUCUUGGAGAUGGAUCGUCGAAACAAUGAAGUGCCGAUAUCAAAUCUUACGGGCUUAGGUUGAACAAUUAACUUGAAUAUAAAUAAUAUUUACAAUAGGUAAGAAUCUCACGGAUUUUUCUUAUUUUAGGAGAAGAGAGAAUAUUGAAAUUGAUGGUUGGGAAAAUCUUCUAAUGCUCCUUAUGUGAUAUUUAUUGUAUUAAUUUCUUUGAAAAAAAAAGUGUAUUCAUAAAGAUAAUGUUGGAGUGUAUAUUAUGUAACGUAUUCAAUGUAUAUUAUAGAAUUUUAUAUUAUUUGUAAUACCCCAAUAAAUUAUAAAAUCUUCAUAAACAGUUUCAUGAAAAAAUAUAAACAAAAACGUUUGACUAAAUUGCAACAUAUAUUACAACAUAGUAUGUUUGGAAUUAUAAUACCAAAAUAAACCUGACAUGGAUUGUAGGCCAUCAUGGUAACGGUUCUAUUACUUUAUCGUAUGUUUAUUAAAGCUUUCGAAAAAAGUGGUCAUUCAUGGUUUUGAUUUACAUAUUGUAAAGCAUCUGUCAAGAUCUUAUCAAGUAUAAAUAAAUUGAUAAUUUGUUAAAAAAUGUUAAAUUGUUUUUUUGCUGUUAAAUUAUG
Manduca sexta (tobacco hornworm) is the source of this 1253-nucleotide long non-coding RNA. RefSeq lists it as uncharacterized. Lineage: Eukaryota; Metazoa; Arthropoda; Insecta; Lepidoptera; Sphingidae. The record is from RefSeq and is a predicted model, not a curated record. The transcript is spliced from 3 exons.